Molecule: ribosomal RNA, 490 nt
Filed under: uncultured bacterium
Lineage: Bacteria
Description: bacterial SSU rRNA
Rfam family: Bacterial small subunit ribosomal RNA
Source: RNAcentral
AUUGAACGCUGGCGGCAGGCCUAACACAUGCAAGUCGAGCGGAUGAGUGGAGCUUGCUCCAUGAUUCAGCGGCGGACGGGUGAGUAAUGCCUAGGAAUCUGCCUGGUAGUGGGGGACAACGUUUCGAAAGGAACGCUAAUACCGCAUACGUCCUACGGGAGAAAGCAGGGGACCUUCGGGCCUUGCGCUAUCAGAUGAGCCUAGGUCGGAUUAGCUAGUAGGUGAGGUAAUGGCUCACCUAGGCGACGAUCCGUAACUGGUCUGAGAGGAUGACCAGUCACACUGGAACUGAGACACGGUCCAGACUCCUACGGGAGGCAGCAGUGGGGAAUAUUGGACAAUGGGCGAAAGACCUGAUCCAGCCAUGCCGCGUGUGUGAAGAAGGUCUUCGGAUUGUAAAGCACUUUAAGUUGGGAGGAAGGGCGAGUAAGUUAAUACCUUGCUGUUUGACGUUACUAACAGAAUAAGACACCGGCUAACUUACGUGCCA